GAUGAACGCUGGCGGCGUGCCUAAUACAUGCAAGUCGAGCGAACGGACGAGAAGCUUGCUUCUCUGAUGUUAGCGGCGGACGGGUGAGUAACACGUGGAUAACCUACCCAUAGGACUGGGAUAACUUCGGGAAACCGUAGCUAAUACCGGAUAAUAUUUUGAACCGCAUGGUUCAAAAGUGAAAGACGGUCUUGCUGUCACUUAUAGAUGGAUCCGCGCUGCAUUAGCUAGUUGGUAAGGUAACGGCUUACCAAGGCAACGAUGCAUAGCCGACCUGAGAGGGUGAUCGGCCACACUGGAACUGAGACACGGUCCAGACUCCUACGGGAGGCAGCAGUAGGGAAUCUUCCGCAAUGGGCGAAAGCCUGACGGAGCAACGCCGCGUGAGUGAUGAAGGUCUUCGGAUCGUAAAACUCUGUUAUUAGGGAAGAACAUAUGUGUAAGUAACUGUGCACAUCUUGACGGUACCUAAUCAGAAAGCCACGGCUAACUACGUG
Molecule: ribosomal RNA, 497 nt
Filed under: uncultured bacterium
Lineage: Bacteria
Description: partial 16S ribosomal RNA
Rfam family: Bacterial small subunit ribosomal RNA
Source: RNAcentral